Molecule: ribosomal RNA, 429 nt
Filed under: Verrucomicrobiota bacterium
Lineage: Bacteria; Pseudomonadati; Verrucomicrobiota
Description: Verrucomicrobia bacterium partial 16S ribosomal RNA
Rfam family: Bacterial small subunit ribosomal RNA
Source: RNAcentral
UAGGGAAUCUUCCGCAAUGGACGAAAGUCUGACGGAGCAACGCCGCGUGAGUGAAGAAGGAUUUCGGUUCGUAAAACUCUGUUGUUAUGGAAGAAAAAAUGUAUAGUAACUAUAUACAAAAGAGACGGUACCUAACCAGAAAGCCACGGCUAACUACGUGCCAGCAGCCGCGGUAAUACGUAGGUGGCAAGCGUUGUCCGGAAUUAUUGGGCGUAAAGCGCGCGCAGGUGGUUUAGAAAGUCUGAUGUGAAAGCCCACGGCUCAACCGUUGAGGGUCAUUGGAAACUAAUAAACUUGAGUGCAGGAGAGAAAAGUGGAAUUCCUAGUGUAGCGGUGAAAUGCGUAGAGAUUAGGAGGAACACCGGUGGCGAAAGCGGCUUUUUGGCCUGCAACUGACACUGAGGCGCGAAAGCGUGGGGAGCAAACAGG